UACGUAGGUGGCAAGCGUUGUCCGGAUUUAUUGGGCGUAAAGGGCGCGUAGGCGGCCACGCACGUCCGUUGUGAAAUCGCCCGGCUCAACUGGGCGGGGUCAGCGGAUACGGUGUGGCUCGAGCAAGCUAGGGGGCAAUGGAAUUCCCGGUGUAGUGGUGGAAUGCGUAGAUAUCGGGAGGAACACCAGUGGCGAAGGCGGUUGCCUGGAGCUUUGCUGACGCUGAGGCGCGAAAGCGUGGGGAGCAAACAGG
Molecule: ribosomal RNA, 253 nt
Filed under: uncultured bacterium
Lineage: Bacteria
Description: partial 16S ribosomal RNA
Rfam family: Bacterial small subunit ribosomal RNA
Source: RNAcentral